GAUGAACGCUGGCGGCGUGCCUAAUACAUGCAAGUCGAGCGAACAGACGAGGAGCUUGCUCCUCUGACGUUAGCGGCGGACGGGGGAGUAACACGUGGAUAACCUACCUAUACGACUUGGAUAACUUCCGGAAACCGGAGCUACUACCAGAUAAUAUAUUGAACCUGAUGGUUCAAUAGUGAGAGACGGUUUUUCUUUCACUUAUAGAUGGACCCGCGCCGCAUUAGCUAGUUGGUAAGGUAACGGCUUACCAAGGCAACGAUGCGUAGCCGACCUGAGAGGGUGAUCGGCCAUACUGGAACUGAGACACGGUCCAGACUCCUACGGGAGGCAGCAGUAGGGAAUCUUCCGCAAUGGGCGAAGGCCUGACGGUGCAACGCCGCGUGAGUGAUGAUGGUCUUCGGAUCGUAAAACUCUGUUAUUAGGGAAGAAGAAAUGUGGAAGUAACUAUGCACGUCUUGACGGUACCUAAUCAGAAAGCCACGGCUAACUACGUG
RNAcentral lists this ribosomal RNA (497 nucleotides) under uncultured bacterium. Its description in RNAcentral is "partial 16S ribosomal RNA". It matches the Rfam family "Bacterial small subunit ribosomal RNA", at positions 28 to 507 of the family's 1533-position model. The record is from RNAcentral.